CCUACGGGUGGCAGCAGUGAGGAAUAUUGGUCAAUGGACGAGAGUCUGAACCAGCCAAGUAGCGUGAAGGAUGACUGCCCUAUGGGUUGUAAACCUCUUUUGUCAGGGAGCAAUUGGCGCUACGUGUAGCGUUAUCGAGAGUACCUGAAGAAAAAGCAUCGGCUAACUCCGUGCCAGCAGCCGCGGUAAUACGGAGGAUGCGAGCGGUAUCCGGAUUUAUUGGGUUUAAAGGGUGCGUAGGCGGAAUGCCAAGUCAGCGGUAAAAUCGCGGGGCUCAACCUCGCUCCGCCGUUGAAACUGGCGUUCUUGAGUGGGCGAGAAGUAUGCGGAAUGCGUGGUGUAGCGGUGAAAUGCAUAGAUAUCACGCAGAACUCCGAUUGCGAAGGCAGCAUACCGGCGCGCAACUGACGCUCAUGCACGAAAGCGUGGGUAUCGAACAGGAUUAGAUACCCUUGUAGUC
Molecule: ribosomal RNA, 460 nt
Filed under: uncultured bacterium
Lineage: Bacteria
Description: partial 16S ribosomal RNA
Rfam family: Bacterial small subunit ribosomal RNA
Source: RNAcentral